Molecule: long non-coding RNA, 213 nt
Filed under: Podarcis muralis (Common wall lizard)
Lineage: Eukaryota; Metazoa; Chordata; Lepidosauria; Squamata; Lacertidae
Description: lncRNA (ENSPMRG00000002930.1)
Source: RNAcentral
UGGCAGGCAAGGUUUUCAGGAUGUGAAAUAUUAUCCCAACUUGGUUCCCACCUUUAAAUGAGAGCAGGUUUGUCUCUCCAAAGAUCUUUAUCCAGAUUUCUUUACCUACAUGAAAUUCGUUUCAGAAAGAUCCAGCCAAGGACUGAGAAUAAAAUGCCUGUCUCUUUAAAUAUCCAGUCACAGGAAAUGAUCCUUAUAUGGCACAGAUGUUGA